UCUCGUUCCUUCUCCAUCCCUUGGCCGCUCUCUUUCCUCCCUCCCUCCUUCCCUCCGUUGUUGAUCCCGGCCAUAGAUCCGAGAUCUUUUGGUGGGAUGUCGUUCGAUUUAUUUAAGGCUCAUGUUUUUUUCUCCUCCCCCAAAAAAUUUUCUUUUUUGAAGUUUUGCAGGUGGUUAGCUUUGAGUCAUCAUGCUUGCGGAUGAUUUCGUCCACAUCUACGAGGUGUUGACUCGUUCGCCUCCAGAUCCGUGCGAAUCCGUGGAGAUCUGGAUGGGUUGUUUCACGUCGGCGAUGUCUGUUCGCUUCGGGCAUCCGAAUCUCGCUGAUUUCUCUUUGAUGGGGGAGAUCUGGCCCAGAUCUAACCCCGCGUCUCUCCGAUCUGUAGAGAUUUGACGAACGUGCGCUGUGUAAGCCUUUCUGUUGUAAGAAAAUUAAAUUGAGAGAGGUGCGAUGUACUUGUUUUGGGUACCCUGGGGUCUGGCUUGCUGAAGAGACGCAGUGAUCUGGAAGUUGUACUCGGUAUGUGUUUCCUUACGACCAGACCUUUGCCAUGUUGGGUGCGCUCGCAUGGCAGGUCGCCUUCAUUAAUAAAAUUUAUUUUUUUGUGUGUUUUGGGGGGAGAUCGUACGGGGUGCUUAAAUUUUUUCAACCCCGGGUUCUCUCCCCCUGUUGCUGGUGCCUGCUUUCUCCUUCUGGUUUUCUGCUGGUUAGAUAAUCCGUUCCGCUCUGGAGAUCUGCCUGCCUGCAGCCAGAGUGAUCAGUGGGCGUCAUCAGCUGUGUGAUGAAUUUUCUGCCAUCCGUUCAUGAUCUGAACAGAGGAAUGUAUUCAAAUGGGUGUUUCGACUCAGCAUUAGUACCGCCGACCUUUGUUGAGCUUUGGAUCAUUCGAGGUAUCUGUUGCUUCCGUUACUGAAUGGUGUAUCUAGUGCACUUUGCGAUAAAUGAGCUGCUAGAAGCGGGGGAGGAUGAUAUUCCGAGACUUGCACUUGGUAUGCACUUCUAUCUGUCAAGACCUUUGCCAUGCUGGGUGCGCUCGCUUGGUAGGUUGCUACUAUUAAUAAUAUUUACUUUGUGUUUUGGGGGGUGAUUGCAGCGGCUUAGUUUUAUAUGUGAGCCAGGCCUUUUGUCUGCUUUGGUACUAUGUUUACUUGCUUGAUGGUUGUUGCUGGUCAAGUAAUUGUUGAUUUUCUUUCUCAAUUAUGAGUGUUGUUUUUAAGCUGCCAUCUCUGGCUUUAAGCUGGCAUCCUUGGCCUAUUUACGCUUGUAAAUGCUGUGGCAAAAUUGUCGAAGGGUAGUGUGCAGUUUCUUCUCUUUGUUGUUGGGUCAUAGGCCAUAGAUAAUUUGCGAGUAAUUUUGCCACUUGUUUAAAGAAGUUGGUAUUAUAUAACUUACAGGGGAGCUGUCUAUUAUUUGUUAUUUGAGCAUUUGAUUAAGUGGCAGCAAUUAAAAGGUUGUGAAGUUCAUUUAUUGAUCGAGCUGCAACUGAUGGCUGUUCUGUGGCUAUGAUGUUCUGCUGAAGCUGUUUCUUUGGCUGCGAUCUGGUGCUGUUUGCUGGUUGCAGUCGUUUUUGGAGGCUGCUUCGUUGGUUGCGGUCUUCUGUGGAAGACGUUUCUCUGACUGCAGUCGUCUGCUGAAUGGAGCCUUCUGUGUUCGGAUUAAUUGAAAUCUGCUUGGGAGGGCUUAAGUAAGAACGAAAGUAGCUACUUGUCCACAGCAGUCUGCGGUAAUAGCAUGUUUGCUCCCUGAAUUUUGCGGAGUCCUGCCUAGUGCAGUGGCUGUAGUUGCUGGAUGGUAUUGUCAAAUGAAGUAACAAGGGCGUAGUGAGAAAAUUAUUGUCCUUCUAAUUUGUUGGCUUAGGCUAGGCGACCGGUGUGGGUGUCAAAAUUACUGUUGUUGCGUAUGAUUUUUGUUAGAUUUCGUGUUCUAGUUUCACUUCCUGUAUGGUAGGAAGGAUAAAAAUCAGUUUUUGAGUUCGUUAGUUUUGUUGAGUAUAGUUAAUUGAAGAAAUUUUCUAAACAAAUCUGUUCAUAAA
This is a long non-coding RNA of Asparagus officinalis (garden asparagus), 2033 nucleotides long. RefSeq lists it as uncharacterized. NCBI's taxonomy places the organism in Eukaryota, Viridiplantae, Streptophyta, Magnoliopsida, Asparagales, Asparagaceae. The transcript has 3 exons. The record is from RefSeq and is a predicted model, not a curated record.